CUAUACAUGCAAGUCGAACGAACUCUGGUAUUGAUUGGUGCUUGCAUCAUGAUUUACAUUUGAGUGAGUGGCGAACUGGUGAGUAACACGUGGGAAACCUGCCCAGAAGCGGGGGAUAACACCUGGAAACAGAUGCUAAUACCGCAUAACAACUUGGACCGCAUGGUCCGAGUUGAAAGAUGGCUUCGGCUAUCACUUUUGGAUGGUCCCGCGGCGUAUUAGCUAGAUGGUGRGGUAACGGCUCACCAUGGCAAUGAUACGUAGCCGACCUGAGAGGGUAAUCGGCCACAUUGGGACUGAGACACGGCCCAAACUCCUACGGGAGGCAGCAGUAGGGAAUCUUCCACAAUGGACGAAAGUCUGAUGGAGCAACGCCGCGUGAGUGAAGAAGGGUUUCGGCUCGUAAAACUCUGUUGUUAAAGAAGAACAUAUCUGAGAGUAACUGUUCAGGUAUUGACGGUAUUUAACCAGAAAGCCACGGCUAACUACGUGCCAGCAGCCGCGGUAAUACGUAGGUGGCAAGCGUUGUCCGGAUUUAUUGGGCGUAAAGCGAGCGCAGGCGGUUUUUUAAGUCUGAUGUGAAAGCCUUCGGCUCAACCGAAGAAGUGCAUCGGAAACUGGGAAACUUGAGUGCAGAAGAGGACAGUGGAACUCCAUGUGUAGCGGUGAAAUGCGUAGAUAUAUGGAAGAACACCAGUGGCGAAGGCGGCUGUCUGGUCUGUAACUGACGCUGAGGCUCGAAAGUAUGGGUAGCAAACAGGAUUAGAUACCCUGGUAGUCCAUACCGUAAACGAUGAAUGCUAAGUGGUUGG
RNAcentral lists this ribosomal RNA (812 nucleotides) under Lactiplantibacillus plantarum. Its description in RNAcentral is "bacterial SSU rRNA". It matches the Rfam family "Bacterial small subunit ribosomal RNA", at positions 49 to 827 of the family's 1533-position model. Lineage: Bacteria; Bacillati; Bacillota; Bacilli; Lactobacillales; Lactobacillaceae. The record is from RNAcentral.